This is a long non-coding RNA of Cyprinus carpio carpio, 1062 nucleotides long. The record is from Ensembl. Lineage: Eukaryota; Metazoa; Chordata; Actinopteri; Cypriniformes; Cyprinidae.
UGACUCGCAUUUAACAAAUCACACCCUGGCCUUUUCGGCAAUCCUGGGAGAAAGAAGAGGCAACAACUAUAGCUGGGCUGUCCCCCUGUGAUGCCCCGUGAGUCAAAUGUGUUUGCACCACCAUUAUUGGUUUCAUGAUAAAGGAAUGUGUGUAAACAUUGUUUCUGAGUGGACAGGCCAGUCUACUGAAAUUUAAAACGCAGGCUGAGAGAACUUCAUUGCACAAUAUUGUGCCAAUGUUUAUGCAUUUUUUCCCCCUUCUCUUAGUGUAAUUUUGUUACUGCAAUUUUUGUAGAAGUAUGUGUUUUUUUCGUUCUCUUGAGUAACACAGAAGAGAAAAUCUCAGAGCGUAAUUAUACAGUGUAUUUGGUUUGAAUCAAAAAUAUAAGAGCAUUUAUACAAAUAAUAGAUAACUCUCUUUCAUCUCUGUUAUAUUUACUCUUGAUACUUAGAGUGUAUUGAAUUAUAAAACAUGCUCAAGGAUUUACAACAAAUAAUUGCAAGUAUCUGCAUUUGUCAUUUGUUUAGAAAGUUCAGAUAUAUUCAUUUUGAAAUCACAAUACAGUUUUUAUGAGAUGAACAGCUGUUAUUAUUACUUGUUGUUUUUAAUAGGAUCUCAAUGUUUUUAUGGUCAGCAAGCAUAACCUCAAGUAGACAAGAAAAUGACUUGCACAUCAGAAUGUGAAUCUUUGUCCCCCAUGACUUGCUGCAGUGAGCUUGGUGUAGUUUUCUCUGGACAGCUUUAUGUGUGGAUUUGGGACAUCUCUGCAUGAGAGAGACAUCUUUAUGGCCAUUGCUGUCGGAAAAAAUACAGGGCAGGAAACAACUCGUGGAAAGAACAUGACUAAGCUUGCCAUUUUUGUGUGGAACUUAAGUUGAAGAAGUCCUAAUCAUAUCAAUGUAUACAUGGUAAGACUGUUAAAACUUUAACGUGUGUUUAAUUAUUGUGCAGACUUAUGGUUUGAAUUCAGUGAGUGCCAAUAUAGAAACCAAACCAAAAAAGUAUUUUUCUUCUUCUCUCUAACAGUCUUUCCUGUCCAAUGUAUAUGUGAGCAGUCCAAA